GCACAAGCGGUGGAGCAUGUGGUUUAAUUCGACGCAACGCGAAGAACCUUACCUGGGCUCGAAAUGUAGUGGAAUCCGGUAGAAAUAUCGGCGUCUAGCAAUAGACUGCUAUAUAGGUGCUGCAUGGCUGUCGUCAGCUCGUGUCGUGAGAUGUUGGGUUAAGUCCCGCAACGAGCGCAACCCUUAUCUUCAGUUGCUACCAUUUAGUUGAGCACUCUGACGAAACCGCCUCGGAUAACGGGGAGGAAGGUGGGGAUGACGUCAAGUCCUCAUGGCCUUUAUGUCCAGGGCUACACACGUGCUACAAUGGCCGGUACAAACCGCUGCAAACCCGCGAGGGGGAGCUAAUCGGAAAAAGCCGGCCUCAGUUCGGAUUGGAGUCUGCAACUCGACUCCAUGAAGCUGGAAUCGCUAGUAAUCGUGGAUCAGCAUGCCACGGUGAAUACGUUCCCGGGC
This 456-nucleotide ribosomal RNA is filed under the name uncultured bacterium. Its description in RNAcentral is "bacterial SSU rRNA". It matches the Rfam family "Bacterial small subunit ribosomal RNA", at positions 923 to 1379 of the family's 1533-position model. The record is from RNAcentral.